CAGUCGCCGCGGUAAUACGUAGGGUGCGAGCGUUAAUCGGAAUUACUGGGCGUAAAGCGUGCGCAGGCGGUUGUGUAAGACAGGUGUGAAAUCCCCGGGCUUAACCUGGGAACUGCGCUUGUGACUGCACAGCUAGAGUAUGGCAGAGGGGGGUAGAAUUCCACGUGUAGCAGUGAAAUGCGUAGAUAUGUGGAGGAAUACCGAUGGCGAAGGCAGCCCCCUGGGAUAACACUGACGCUCAUGCACGAAAGCGUGGGGAGCGAACAGGAUUAGAUACCCCUGUAGUCCCUGUCUCUUAUAC
Molecule: ribosomal RNA, 301 nt
Filed under: uncultured bacterium
Lineage: Bacteria
Description: partial 16S ribosomal RNA
Rfam family: Bacterial small subunit ribosomal RNA
Source: RNAcentral